UAACCGAACGGAUCGCGUUAUGGCUUCGGCCCGCGAUGGAUCAUUCAAGUUUCUGACCUAUCAGCUUUCGACGGUAGGGUAUUGGCCUACCGUGGCAGUGACGGGUAACGGGGAAUUAGGGUUCGAUUCCGGAGAGGGAGCCUGAGAAACGGCUACCACAUCUAAGGAAGGCAGCAGGCGCGCAAAUUACCCAAUGAAAACAGUUUCGAGGUAGUGACGAGAAAUAACAAUACAGGGCAUUUUAUGCUCUGUAAUUGGAAUGAUGGGAAUGUAAAACCCUUUCAGAGUAACAAUUGGAGGGCAAGUCUGGUGCCAGCAGCCGCGGUAAUUCCAGCUCCAAUAGUGUAUAUUAGAGUUGUUGCAGUUAAAAAGCUCGUAGUUGGAUUUCUGUCGUGGUCAUCCGGUACCGCCCGUAUGGGUGCGCACCUGGUAUGCCCUCGGCUUUCUUCCGGUAGCCUUCCGCGCUUCAUUGCGUGUGAUGGUGUUCCUGGAACUUUUACUUUGAGAAAAAUAGAGUGUUCAAGCAGGCUGUCGUGUGAUACGAUUACGGAAUAAUAAGAUAGGAUUUCGGC
This 572-nucleotide ribosomal RNA is filed under the name Isospora lacazei. RNAcentral describes it as "SSU rRNA". It matches the Rfam family "Eukaryotic small subunit ribosomal RNA", at positions 257 to 834 of the family's 1831-position model. The record is from RNAcentral. Lineage: Eukaryota; Apicomplexa; Conoidasida; Eucoccidiorida; Eimeriidae.